UGUCAGGCCCUGCAAAUACAGGGAGAGGAGCAAGGGAAGAACAAAUGGAUUCUUUCACUUCUGCAGAAGCCUUCAGCUUGGAUUCAGUUGAGAGGUACAUGGUGGCUGAUUUUUGCAAUCAAGCUGAGGAGUUUUCAUCUUAAGCUUGGACCUUCAUAGCUGAUCAUGGCAGCUGACUUCUGUUUCCAAAUCAACUAUCCUCGCUCUGGGGACAGAAAGAAAUGAACCUGAAGCACCCCUCAUGAUGAUGUGAGCAUGCUGGAUUGCUGCAAGGGCCUUAAUCCCUGGGAGAUUUAUAUCUGUGACUUCACUAUGAAAACAAAACUAUCUUCCCCGCCCUGUCAGGGUGCAACAAUUAGAAAAGAAUGUGAGGUUUACUUUUGACGAAGCAUGUGGUUCAUAAUAGAGCCUCUUUUACCAAUGGGAUGAUUUGUAGCUAAAAUAUAAAAACCAUGGGC
This 458-nucleotide long non-coding RNA is filed under the name Homo sapiens (human). RNAcentral's name for it is "HSALNT0030144". The record is from RNAcentral. Lineage: Eukaryota; Metazoa; Chordata; Mammalia; Primates; Hominidae.